Molecule: ribosomal RNA, 549 nt
Filed under: Glomus sp. VeGlo8
Lineage: Eukaryota; Fungi; Glomeromycota; Glomeromycetes; Glomerales; Glomeraceae
Description: SSU rRNA
Rfam family: Eukaryotic small subunit ribosomal RNA
Source: RNAcentral
UUGGAGGGCAAGUCUGGUGCCAGCAGCCGCGGUAAUUCCAGCUCCAAUAGCGUAUAUUAAAGUUGUUGCAGUUAAAAAGCUCGUAGUUGAAUUUCGGGGUUAGUAGGUUGGUCAUGCCUCUGGUAUGUACUGAUCUCACUGAUUCCUCCUUCCUUAUGAACCGUAAUGCCAUUAAUUUGGUGUUGCGGGGAAUUUGGACUGUUACUUUGAAAAAAUUAGAGUGUUUAAAGCAGGCUAACGCUUGAAUACAUUAGCAUGGAAUAAUGAAAUAGGACGUUUGAUUCUAUUUUGUUGGUUUCUAGGAUCGACGUAAUGAUUAAUAGGGAUAGUUGGGGGCAUUAGUAUUCAAUUGUCAGAGGUGAAAUUCUUGGAUUUAUUGAAGACUAACUACUGCGAAAGCAUUUGCCAAGGAUGUUUUCAUUAAUCAAGAACGAAAGUUAGGGGAUCGAAGACGGUCAGAUACCGUCGUAGUCUUAACCAUAAACUAUGCCGACUAGGGAUCGGAUGAUGUUAAUUUUUUAAUGACUCAUUCGGCGCCUUACGGGAAAC